GAUGAACGCUGGCGGCGUGCCUAAUACAUGCAAGUCGAGCGAACAGACGAGGAGCUUGCUCCUCUGACGUUAGCGGCGGACGGGUGAGUAACACGUGGAUAACCUACCUAUAAGACUGGGAUAACUUCGGGAAACCGGAGCUAAUACCGGAUAAUAUAUUGAACCGCAUGGUUCAAUAGUGAAAGACGGUUUUGCUGUCACUUAUAGAUGGAUCCGCGCCGCAUUAGCUAGUUGGUAAGGUAACGGCUUACCAAGGCGACGAUGCGUAGCCGACCUGAGAGGGUGGUCGCCCACACUGGAACUGAGACACGGUCCAGACUCCUACGGGAGGCAGCAGUAGGGAAUCUUCCGCAAUGGGCGAAAGCCUGACGGAGCAACGCCGCGUGAGUGAUGACGGUCUUCGGAUCGUAAAACUCUGUUAUUAGGGAAGAACAAAUGUGUAAGUAACUAUGCACGUCUUGACGGUACCUAAUCAGAAAGCCACGGCUAACUACGUG
RNAcentral lists this ribosomal RNA (497 nucleotides) under uncultured bacterium. Its description in RNAcentral is "partial 16S ribosomal RNA". It matches the Rfam family "Bacterial small subunit ribosomal RNA", at positions 28 to 507 of the family's 1533-position model. The record is from RNAcentral.